Molecule: ribosomal RNA, 253 nt
Filed under: uncultured bacterium
Lineage: Bacteria
Description: partial 16S ribosomal RNA
Rfam family: Bacterial small subunit ribosomal RNA
Source: RNAcentral
UACGUAUGGAGCAAGCGUUAUCCGGAUUUACUGGGUGUAAAGGGAGCGCAGGCGGCUUUGCAAGUCUGAUGUGAAAACCCGAGGCUCAACCACGGGAGUGCAUUGGAAACUGGCGUGCUGGAGUGCCGGAGAGGUAAGCGGAAUUCCUAGUGUAGCGGUGAAAUGCGUAGAUAUUAGGAGGAACACCAGUGGCGAAGGCGGCUUACUGGACGGCAACUGACGCUGAGGCUCGAAAGCGUGGGGAGCAAACAGG